CCUCGUGUGCCGGUCCUGCCUUUUGACACUGCUUGCACCUUGGUAGUCGAGCAGUCGCCAGGCUCGUGUAUCAUUGUGAUAUAGUAAAAGCCUAGGACUUCUGUUCUAACUGCCAGUAGGUAGUUGCUUGCAGUCGUUGUUGCGCAAUUGUGUUGUAUUUUGUAUACCCCAACUUCAUUGGGUAGUAGAAUGUAAUCCUGUGGAGUUUCGUUAAUGCAAAA
This 221-nucleotide long non-coding RNA is filed under the name Setaria italica (foxtail millet). Its description in RNAcentral is "long non-coding RNA (SITA_LNC006797)". Lineage: Eukaryota; Viridiplantae; Streptophyta; Magnoliopsida; Poales; Poaceae. The record is from RNAcentral.